AGGCGUGAUGACGAGGCACUACGGUGCUGAAGCAACAAAUGCCCUGCUUCCAGGAAAAGCCUCUAAGCAUCAGGUAACAUCAAAUCGUACCCCAAACCGACACAGGUGGUCAGGUAGAGAAUACCAAGGCGCUUGAGAGAACUCGGGUGAAGGAACUAGGCAAAAUGGUGCCGUAACUUCGGGAGAAGGCACGCUGAUAUGUAGGUGAAGUCCCUCGCGGAUGGAGCUGAAAUCAGUCGAAGAUACCAGCUGGCUGCAACUGUUUAUUAAAAACACAGCACUGUGCAAACACGAAAGUGGACGUAUACGGUGUGACGCCUGCCCGGUGCCGGAAGGUUAAUUGAUGGGGUCAGCGCAAGCGAAGCUCUUGAUCGAAGCCCCGGUAAACGGCGGCCGUAACUAUAACGGUCCUAAGGUAGCGAAAUUCCUUGUCGGGUAAGUUCCGACCUGCACGAAUGGCGUAAUGAUGGCCAGGCUGUCUCCACCCGAGACUCAGUGAAAUUGAACUCGCUGUGAAGAUGCAGUGUACCCGCGGCAAGACGGAAAGACCCCGUGAACCUUUACUAUAGCUUGACACUGAACAUUGAGCCUUGAUGUGUAGGAUAGGUGGGAGGCUUAGAAGUGUGGACGCCAGUCUGCAUGGAGCCGACCUUGAAAUACCACCCUUUAAUGUUUGAUGUUCUAACGUUGACCCGUAAUCCGGGUUGCGGACAGUGUCUGGUGGGUAGUUUGACUGGGGCGGUCUCCUCCUAAAGAGUAACGGAGGAGCACGAAGGUUGGCUAAUCCUGGUCGGACAUCAGGAGGUUAGUGCAAUGGCAUAAGCCAGCUUGACUGCGAGCGUGACGGCGCGAGCAGGUGCGAAAGCAGGUCAUAGUGAUCCGGUGGUUCUGAAUGGAAGGGCCAUCGCUCAACGGAUAAAAGGUACUCCGGGGAUAACAGGCUGAUACCGCCCAAGAGUUCAUAUCGACGGCGGUGUUUGGCACCUCGAUGUCGGCUCAUCACAUCCUGGGGCUGAAGUAGGUCCCAAGGGUAUGGCUGUUCGCCAUUUAAAGUGGUACGCGAGCUGGGUUUAGAACGUCGUGAGACAGUUCGGUCCCUAUCUGCCGUGGGCGCUGGAGAACUGAGGGGGGCUGCUCCUAGUACGAGAGGACCGGAGUGGACGCAUCACUGGUGUUCGGGUUGUCAUGCCAAUGGCACUGCCCGGUAGCUAAAUGCGGAAGAGAUAAGUGCUGAAAGCAUCUAAGCACGAAACUUGCC
RNAcentral lists this ribosomal RNA (1258 nucleotides) under Escherichia coli. Its description in RNAcentral is "partial 23S ribosomal RNA". It matches the Rfam family "Bacterial large subunit ribosomal RNA", at positions 1559 to 2798 of the family's 2925-position model. The record is from RNAcentral. Lineage: Bacteria; Pseudomonadati; Pseudomonadota; Gammaproteobacteria; Enterobacterales; Enterobacteriaceae.